AUAGGACUCUGUCACUGAUUCGUGACAGAUUUUACUGGCCUGGGAUGGACAAAGAUGUGGAGGAUUGGAUACAACAGUGUGGCAGAUGCAUAAAGAGAAAAACACCAGCCCGUCAGAGAGCACCUUUGGUCAGCAUUGAAACUCAGUUUCCACUUCAACUUGUCUGUUUGGAUUUUCUCACACUGGAGCAGUCAAAAGGAGGUCACCAGAACAUACUGGUUAUUACCGACCAUUUCACCAGAUAUGCUCAAGCAAUAACAACCAGAAAUCAAACAGCAAAGACCACAGCACAGGCACUCUUUGAUAACUUUAUUCUACAUUACGGAAUACCACAGAGGAUCCAUUCUGAUCAGGGAG
This 357-nucleotide long non-coding RNA is filed under the name Mytilus galloprovincialis (Mediterranean mussel). The record is from RNAcentral. Lineage: Eukaryota; Metazoa; Mollusca; Bivalvia; Mytilida; Mytilidae.